RNAcentral lists this ribosomal RNA (465 nucleotides) under uncultured bacterium. Its description in RNAcentral is "partial 16S ribosomal RNA". It matches the Rfam family "Bacterial small subunit ribosomal RNA", at positions 338 to 795 of the family's 1533-position model. The record is from RNAcentral.
CCUACGGGUGGCAGCAGUGGGGAAUUUUGGACAAUGGGCGCAAGCCUGAUCCAGCUAUUCCGCGUGUGGGAAGACGGCCUUCGGGUUGUAAACCACUUUUGUAGAGGACGAAAAGUCUAUUGAUACUACCGAUAGAUGAUGACGGUACUCUAAGAAUAAGCACCGGCUAACUACGUGCCAGCAGCCGCGGUAAUACGUAGGGUGCGUGCGUUAAUCGGAAUUACUGGGUGGAAAGGGAGUGCAGGCGGUUUUGCAAGAUGGAUGUGAAAGCCCCGGGCUUAACCUGGGAAAGGCAUACAUGACUGGAAGACUAGAGUACGUCAGAGGGGGGUGGAAUUCCAAGUGUAGCAGUGAAAUGCGUAGAUAUUAGGAAGAACACCGAUGGCGAAGGCAGCCUCCUGGGACGCAACUGACGCUGAUACUCGAAAGCGUGGGGAGCAAACAGGAUUAGAUACCCGAGUAGUC